GAUUUGAGGUAUGCUGGACUUUUUAUUAGUUCGGCUCCCUUUUAAAUGCAUCAGCGGAGCUACUCGCUUCCGGCUAACAUCGACGUGAUAAUUAUCUUACAUCGUUGUCUACCGGUCCCAGAGUCCGCUUAUAAUCGUCUUCGGACAACACAUAAUGACAAUUUGACCUCAAAUCAGGUAGGACUACCCGCUGAACUUAA
RNAcentral lists this unclassified non-coding RNA (200 nucleotides) under soil metagenome. RNAcentral's name for it is "partial contains internal transcribed spacer 2 and large subunit ribosomal RNA". The record is from RNAcentral.